Molecule: ribosomal RNA, 661 nt
Filed under: uncultured bacterium
Lineage: Bacteria
Description: bacterial SSU rRNA
Rfam family: Bacterial small subunit ribosomal RNA
Source: RNAcentral
ACGAGGUCGAUCCAGUAGCAAUACUGGUGAAAACCUAGUGGCGAACGGGUGAGUAACACGUGAGCAACCUGCCCCGAAGACUGGGAUAACAGUGGGAAACCGCUGCUAAUACCGGAUGCCCCCAUUGGACCACAUGGCCCGAUGAGGAAAUGGAUUCCGCUUCGGGAGGGGCUCGCGGCCUAUCAGCUUGUUGGUGGGGUAACGGCCUACCAAGGCGACGACGGGUAGCUGGUCUGAGAGGACGAUCAGCCACACUGGGACUGAGACACGGCCCAGACUCCUACGGGAGGCAGCAGUGGGGAAUAUUGCGCAAUGGGCGAAAGCCUGACGCAGCAACGCCGCGUGAGGGAUGACGGCCUUCGGGUUGUAAACCUCUUUCAAGCAGGGACGAUAAUGACGGUACCUGCAGAAGAAGCUCCGGCCAACUACGUGCCAGCAGCCGCGGUAAUACGUAGGGAGCGAGCGUUGUCCGGAUUCAUUGGGCGUAAAGAGCUCGUAGGCGGCUUGAUAAGUCGGAUGUGAAACCUCCAGGCUCAACCUGGAGUCGCCAUCCGAUACUGUCAUAGCUAGAGUCCGGUAGGGGCCCACGGAACUCCUGGUGUAGCGGUGAAAUGCGCAGAUAUCAGGAAGAACACCAGUGGCGAAGGCGGUGGGCUGGGCC